CCUACGGGAGGCAGCAGUGAGGAAUAUUGGUCAAUGGGCGCGAGCCUGAACCAGCCAAGUAGCGUGAAGGAUGACUGCCCUACGGGUUGUAAACUUCUUUUAUAAAGGAAUAAAGUGAGGCACGUGUGCCUUUUUGUAUGUACUUUAUGAAUAAGGAACGGCUCACUCCGUUCCAGCCGCCGCGGGAAUACGGAGGAUGCGAGCGUUAUCCGGAUUUAUUGGGUUUAAAGGGGGCGUAGAUGGGUUGUUAAGUUAGUUGUGAAAGUUUGCGGCUCAACCGUAAAAUUGCAAUUGAUACUGGCAGUCUUGAGUACAGUUGAGGUAGGCGGAAUUCGUGGUGUAGCGGUGAAAUGCGUAGAUAUCACGAAGAACUCCGAUUGCGAAGGCAGCUUACUAAACUGCCACUGACAUUGAUGCGCGAAAGUGUGGGUAUCAAACAGGAUUAGAUACCCGGGUAGUC
This 460-nucleotide ribosomal RNA is filed under the name uncultured bacterium. Its description in RNAcentral is "partial 16S ribosomal RNA". It matches the Rfam family "Bacterial small subunit ribosomal RNA", at positions 338 to 795 of the family's 1533-position model. The record is from RNAcentral.